GGCUGUGGUGGAAGAGGCAAGAAUCAAUCCAAAGGGCAUACAGCUAAGGUUUGCAUGGUAAGCUAACAGAAAAUAUGACCAAAAACCUAAAUGGCGAUUAAAAAAACACUUAAGAAUGUCUCCCUCAACUCAAAAACAACAGCAGCAACAAAA
This is a long non-coding RNA of Gavialis gangeticus (Gharial), 153 nucleotides long. RefSeq lists it as uncharacterized. NCBI's taxonomy places the organism in Eukaryota, Metazoa, Chordata, Crocodylia, Gavialidae. The record is from RefSeq and is a predicted model, not a curated record. The transcript is spliced from 2 exons.